Haliotis rubra (blacklip abalone) is the source of this 129-nucleotide long non-coding RNA. RefSeq lists it as uncharacterized. The record is from RefSeq and is a predicted model, not a curated record. NCBI's taxonomy places the organism in Eukaryota, Metazoa, Mollusca, Gastropoda, Lepetellida, Haliotidae. The transcript has 3 exons.
AUCGAUCUAUGCAAUUGGGAUAUGAUGACAUAUGUCAGCGAGCCUGACCACCCAAUCCCUUCAGUGGCCUCUUAUGACAAACGUGGGUUGCUGUAGACAGGUCUAAGCCAGAUCUUCAUAGGUUCAAAU